GGCAUUUGAGACAAUCCUUGUGGGUGCCGUGGAGAGAUAGCCUGGAGAGGAGGAAGAACCAGGUCUGGGUCACAUGGCUUCCUUCUUUCUGAAGGAAGGAAGCUACAGUCUACAGCCAUCCCUCCUGGUCUCCACAAGUCCAGGGCACCUUCUGAAUGGGAGGAGACGACGUUCCUGGUGAAGCUGAGCUGAGGGCACGUUCAUCCCUUCACUGGCAUAGCUCCUCAGGAUUCCAGAGUAUACUGAAGACCAACUGAGGCACCCAGACUUGUGGACUGAACAACCAUUGGGACUUCUUGAUAGGCAGCUACUGUUGGACUAGCCGGACCACAGCCUGUAAGCCACUCGAAUAAAUUUCAUACAUAUAUGGAAUAUA
RNAcentral lists this long non-coding RNA (376 nucleotides) under Mus musculus (house mouse). Its description in RNAcentral is "predicted gene, 33155, transcript variant 2 (Gm33155)". The record is from RNAcentral. Lineage: Eukaryota; Metazoa; Chordata; Mammalia; Rodentia; Muridae.